This 341-nucleotide unclassified non-coding RNA is filed under the name soil metagenome. RNAcentral describes it as "partial contains 5.8S ribosomal RNA, internal transcribed spacer 2, and large subunit ribosomal RNA". The stretch from base 1 to 120 matches the Rfam family "5.8S ribosomal RNA", at positions 35 to 154 of the family's 154-position model. The record is from RNAcentral.
GAUGAAGAACGAAGCGAAAUGCGAUAAGUAGUGUGAAUUGCAGAAUUCAGUGAAUCAUCGAAUCUUUGAACGCACAUUGCGCCCCUUGGUAUUCCAUGGGGCAUGCCUGUUCGAGCGUCAUUUGUACCCUCAAGCUUUGCUUGGUGUUGGGUGUUUGUCCCGCGCUCUUUUGCGCAAGACUCGCCUUAAAUCAAUUGGCAGCCGGCAUGUUAGCCUGGAGCGCAGCACAUUUUGCGCGCCUUGCUUGCUUGUGUUGGCCCCCAUCAAGUCCAUAUAUUUGCUCUUGACCUCGGAUCAGGUAGGGAUACCCGCUGAACUUAAGCAUAUCAAUAAGCGGAGGA